This 300-nucleotide unclassified non-coding RNA is filed under the name uncultured Thelephora. Its description in RNAcentral is "sequence contains 5.8S rRNA gene, ITS2". The stretch from base 1 to 72 matches the Rfam family "5.8S ribosomal RNA", at positions 84 to 154 of the family's 154-position model. The record is from RNAcentral. Lineage: Eukaryota; Fungi; Basidiomycota; Agaricomycetes; Thelephorales; Thelephoraceae.
GUGAGUCAUCGAAUCUUUGAACGCACCUUGCGCCCCUUGGCUAUUCCGAGGGGCAUGCCUGUUUGAGUAUCAUGAACACCUCAACUCUCAUGGUUUGCCAUGAUGAGUUGGACUCUGGGGGUUUUGCUGGCCUGUGGUCGGCUCCUCUCAAAUUAAUCAGCCUCCCAGUGUUUGGUGGCAUCACGGGUGUGAUAAAUAUCUACGCUCGCUGUUGUCUGCCAGGUAACCUUUGGUCACAAAGGUUUGCUGGAGCUCACAGAUGUCUCUCCUCAGCGAGGACAGCUUUUUUAACGUUCGAUC